RNAcentral lists this long non-coding RNA (310 nucleotides) under Hordeum vulgare. RNAcentral's name for it is "long non-coding RNA (HVUL_LNC012204)". The record is from RNAcentral. Lineage: Eukaryota; Viridiplantae; Streptophyta; Magnoliopsida; Poales; Poaceae.
AUUAAAAGAAAACCAGAGGAGUUGCCUCCACAAUUAUCAAAAGGAUUUUUAGGAAGAAAUGAACAUUUUUAUUGGGGCAAAACAGAAACUUAGAAAUCUGCCUCAAAAGAAAAUAAGAGAGGGGAGAAGGGGGUUUUAUCCUAUGGUGCAACUAGUGGUUGUUUGAAAUGCACUUGUUGCACCCACACUUCAACAAACACAAAAGCACAUCCACAUAACACUUGCACAUCACAUCAAGGUUCACCCACAUCAACACAAACAAAACAAAAGGAAAAGAUGCAAUGCAUGCACGCAUGAUGCACAUAAAAUG